RNAcentral lists this ribosomal RNA (157 nucleotides) under Clusia sp. JA 4098. RNAcentral's name for it is "5.8S ribosomal RNA". It matches the Rfam family "5.8S ribosomal RNA". Rfam says of the family: 5.8S ribosomal RNA (5.8S rRNA) is a component of the large subunit of the eukaryotic ribosome. It is transcribed by RNA polymerase I as part of the 45S precursor that also contains 18S and 28S rRNA. The record is from RNAcentral. Lineage: Eukaryota; Viridiplantae; Streptophyta; Magnoliopsida; Malpighiales; Clusiaceae.
AAAAUGACUCUCGGCAACGGAUAUCUCGGCUCUCGCAUCGAUGAAGAACGUAGCGAAAUGCGAUACUUGGUGUGAAUUGCAGAAUCCCGUGAACCAUCGAGUCUUUGAACGCAAGUUGCGCCCAAAGCCUUUUGGUUGGGGGCACGUCUGCCUGGGU